This 378-nucleotide ribosomal RNA is filed under the name uncultured organism. Its description in RNAcentral is "bacterial SSU rRNA". It matches the Rfam family "Bacterial small subunit ribosomal RNA", at positions 526 to 897 of the family's 1533-position model. The record is from RNAcentral.
CGUAGGGGGCAAGCGUUGUCCGGAUUUAUUGGGCGUAAAGAGCGUGUAGGCGGUUAUACAGGUCCGCUGUGAAAACUGGAGGCUUAACCUCCAGACGUCGGUGGAAACCGUAUAACUAGAGUCCGGAAGAGGAGAGUGGAAGUUCCUGGUGUAGCGGUGAAAUGCGCAGAUAUCAGGAAGAACACCCGUGGCGAAGGCGGCUCUCUGGGACCGGUACUGACGCUGAGACGCGAAAGCGUGGGGAGCGGACAGGAUUAGAUACCCUGGUAGUCCACGCCGUAAACGAUGGGUGCUAGGUGUGGGGGGUGUCGACUCCCUCCGGUAGUCCGCAGCUAACGCAUUAAGCACCCCGCCUGGGGAGUACGGCCGCAAGGACUA